AAGUCGUAACAAGGUUUCCGUAGGUGAACCUGCGGAAGGAUCAAUACGAAGAGAGAGAGAGUGGGGAUUUGUUGAAUUAUGUUAUAUUAUAACAAUUGACAACACUAUACACACACACAUUUUACAACUCAUAACAAUGGAUCUCUGGGCUCUU
RNAcentral lists this unclassified non-coding RNA (154 nucleotides) under fungal sp. RNAcentral's name for it is "partial internal transcribed spacer region". The stretch from base 1 to 46 matches the Rfam family "Eukaryotic small subunit ribosomal RNA", at positions 1786 to 1831 of the family's 1831-position model. The record is from RNAcentral. Lineage: Eukaryota; Fungi.